UACGUAGGGUGCGAGCGUUAAUCGGAAUUACUGGGCGUAAAGCGUGCGCAGGCGGUUUUGUAAGCCAGAUGUGAAAUCCCCGGGCUUAACCUGGGAAUGGCAUUUGGGACUGCAAGGCUCGAGUGCGGCAGAGGAGACUGGAAUUCCUGGUGUAGCAGUGAAAUGCGUAGAUAUCAGGAGGAACACCGAUGGCGAAGGCAGGUCUCUGGGCUGACACUGACGCUCAUGCACGAAAGCGCGGGGAGCAAACAGG
This 253-nucleotide ribosomal RNA is filed under the name uncultured bacterium. RNAcentral's name for it is "partial 16S ribosomal RNA". It matches the Rfam family "Bacterial small subunit ribosomal RNA", at positions 524 to 776 of the family's 1533-position model. The record is from RNAcentral.